Molecule: ribosomal RNA, 437 nt
Filed under: uncultured bacterium
Lineage: Bacteria
Description: bacterial SSU rRNA
Rfam family: Bacterial small subunit ribosomal RNA
Source: RNAcentral
GAACCGGUAAAGUGCCCUGGCUUUUGUAGGGGUGCUCGAGUGGCGAACGGGUGAGUACCACGUGAGUAACCUGCCCUUGACUUUGGGAUAACUUCAGGAAACUGGGGCUAAUACCGGAUAGGAGCUCCUGCUGCAUGGUGGGGGUUGGAAAGUUUCGGCGGUUGGGGAUGGACUCGCGGCUUAUCUUCUUGUUGGUGGGGUAGUGGCUUACCAAGGCUUUGACGGGUAGCCGGCCUGAGAGGGUGACCGGCCACAUUGGGACUGAGAUACGGCCCAUACUCCUACGGGAGGCAGCAGUGGGGAAUAUUGCACAAUGGGCGGAAGCCUGAUGCAGCAACGCCGUCUGCGGGAUGACGGCCUUCGGGUUGUAAACCGCUUUCGCCUGUGACCAAGCGUGAGUGACGGUUAUGGGUAAAGAAGCACCGGCUAACUACGUG